Molecule: transfer RNA, 70 nt
Filed under: Cnephaeus nilssonii (northern bat)
Lineage: Eukaryota; Metazoa; Chordata; Mammalia; Chiroptera; Vespertilionidae
Description: tRNA-OTHER
Source: RNAcentral
GCCUGUGUGGCUCAGUGGUUGAGCAUCAACCUAUGAACCAGGAGGUCACAGUUUGAUUCCUGGUCAGGCC